UACGGAGGGCGCAAGCGGUGUUCGGAAUCACUGGGCGUAAAGCGCGUGUAGGCGGCUUGGCAAGUAGGAUGUGAAAUCCCGAGGCUGAACCUCGGAACUGCACUCGAAACUGCCUGGCUCGAGUACCGGAGAGGGUGGCGGAAUUCCCGGUGUAGGGGUGAAAUCCGUAUAUAUCGGGAGGAAGACCAGUGGCAAAGGCGGCCAUCUGGAUGGUGACUGACGCUGAGGCGCUAAUGCUUGGAGAGCAAGCAGG
RNAcentral lists this ribosomal RNA (253 nucleotides) under uncultured bacterium. Its description in RNAcentral is "partial 16S ribosomal RNA". It matches the Rfam family "Bacterial small subunit ribosomal RNA", at positions 524 to 776 of the family's 1533-position model. The record is from RNAcentral.